Non-coding RNA from Xenorhabdus khoisanae, 86 nucleotides. The record is from Rfam. Lineage: Bacteria; Pseudomonadati; Pseudomonadota; Gammaproteobacteria; Enterobacterales; Morganellaceae.
UUCAAUGGCGGUUCAGGCGGGGGAGGCUUCGGCCUCGCCGGACGAUCGUUCCCGGUAUUGCUAACCCUGUCUGAAUCGCCACCAUC